Molecule: ribosomal RNA, 261 nt
Filed under: uncultured prokaryote
Description: partial 16S ribosomal RNA
Rfam family: Bacterial small subunit ribosomal RNA
Source: RNAcentral
UACGUAGGUGGCGAGCGUUGUCCGGAUUUACUGGGCGUAAAGGGAGCGUAGGCGGACUUUUAAGUGAGAUGUGAAAUACCCGGGCUCAACUUGGGUGCUGCAUUUCAAACUGCAGAUCUUGAGUGCUGGAGAGGAUAGUGGAAUUCCUGGUGUAGCGGUAAAAUGCGUAGAGAUCAGGAGGAACACCAGUGGCGAAGGCGGCUAUCUGGACAGUAACUGACGCUGAGGCGCGAAAGCGUGGGGAGCAAACAGGAUUAGAUA